This is a long non-coding RNA of Panicum virgatum (switchgrass), 1060 nucleotides long. RefSeq lists it as uncharacterized. The transcript has 3 exons. The record is from RefSeq and is a predicted model, not a curated record. NCBI's taxonomy places the organism in Eukaryota, Viridiplantae, Streptophyta, Magnoliopsida, Poales, Poaceae.
CGCCACACCGGUUCCUUUUUUCUUCCGCGUCCCCCUGUGCCCCCGAAGCGGUUUCCCCCACCCCCAGCUCGCGAUGCCUUCCCCGUUCCUCCUAUCGCCCCCCAGCUCCCGAUCCGUUUCCCGACGCCGCUCCUCUCAUCACAGGGAACUGGCGCCUCCCGUAGCUGCCGAUCCGUUCCCGACGCCGCACCUCCGCCCGUCGCCGCUCCCCUCCUUCGACGGCGCUCCCUCCUCCCGACGGCAUUCCGCGAGACCGUCCUCCCGUCGUCGUCACCCCCAGGAGAUCCUACUAUGGCCCACCGACGAGAUCCUCCCCUGGCCUGCCUUCAGGUCAUGGAUGAAUCGAUGGCACAGCGUGGAUGAAUCGCCUGCGUAUCCCCGCAUUCAAGGUGACGCCCUGCAAUUCCCGAUGCCGCUCUCUCCUCCCGUCGCUGCCGAUCCUCCUCCGGCCUGCCCUCCGAUCAGGAUGGAUUCUCGGCAGAGAUUGGCCCACAGAUGCAUAUCAACCCAAGCAGGGUGGUGUUCGAGUUGCUUCUGAUUUGGUCGUCAAUCGUGUGCCCUGGUUCCGAUCGGCUCGGCCCUGUGGAUUGGAGACGACGGCCACCAGGGAUCCAAUCUCCUCCGCUGUAGCUUGGGGUUCCUUCCCUGGAGCGGCAGAUUUGUUUGGAUGAGUAUUCAUUGAUGCCUACGGUGCGGUGGACGCCACGAUCUCCAUUGACAGUGUCAUCUUUCAGCAGUACCCAUCAUCACCAUUAGGUGUUUAGGGACAGUUCCCUUUGUUCAUCACUUGAUGGAUUUUGUGCAGAAAGCAUCUGUUUUCCAGUAUAUAGAUUCUGAGUUUCAUGUAAGAAUGGUAUGUUUAGAGCCUAUGUGUAUAGAUUCUUAUAAAAAUAUAAGUUUGGAGUGGCAGGUGAUAGAAAUAAUGAUGCCAUUACGACUCCAUCGGUGUUUAUGAUAUUUAUGAGCUGGCACAGAAAAAAUGUGUGGUGUUUGUAAGAUAAUGAGAUUUUAGCAUCAACAUGUUCUUGGUAUAUGAGACUAGGAAAUUAACAUUACUGUC